AUGGCUCAGGAGACUAACCAGACCCCGGGGCCCAUGCUGUGUAGCACAGGAUGUGGCUUUUAUGGAAAUCCUAGGACAAAUGGAAUGUGUUCAGUUUGCUACAAAGAACAUCUUCAGAGGCAGCAGAAUAGUGGCAGAAUGAGCCCAAUGGGGACAGCUAGUGGUUCCAACAGUCCUACCUCAGAUUCUGCAUCUGUACAGAGAGCAGACACUAGCUUAAACAACUGUGAAGGUGCUGCUGGCAGCACAUCUGAAAAAUCAAGAAAUGUGCCUGCGGCUGCCUUGCCUGUAACUCAGCAAAUGACAGAAAUGAGCAUUUCAACAGAGGACAAAAUAACUACCCCGAAAACAGAGGUGUGAGAGCCAGUUGUCACUCAGCCCAGCCCAUCAGUUUUUCAGCCCAGUACUUCUCAGAGUAAAGAAAAAGCUCCUGAAUUGCCCAAACCAAAGAAAAACAGAUGUUUCAUGUGCAGAAAGAAAGUUGGUCUUACAGGUUUGACUGCCGAUGUGGAAAUUUGUUUUGUGGACUUCACCGUUAACUCUGACAAGCACAACUGUCCGUAUGAUUACAAAGCAGAAGCUGCAGCAAAAAUCAGAAAAGAGAAUCCAGUUGUUGUGGCUGAAAAAAUUCAGAGAAUA
Molecule: long non-coding RNA, 639 nt
Filed under: Homo sapiens (human)
Lineage: Eukaryota; Metazoa; Chordata; Mammalia; Primates; Hominidae
Description: non-protein coding lnc-CEACAM1-2:1
Source: RNAcentral